UGGGGAAUCUUGCGCAAUGGGCGAAAGCCUGACGCAGCAACGCCGCGUGUGUGAUGAAGGUCUUCGGAUCGUAAAGCACUGUCGCGAGGGACGAAUAAGGGACGGGCGAACAGUCCGUUUCGAUGACGGUACCUCGAGAGGAAGCACCGGCUAACUCUGUGCCAGCAGCCGCGGUAAUACAGAGGGUGCGAGCGUUGUUCGGAAUUAUUGGGCGUAAAGCGCGUGUAGGCGGCCUAGCAAGUCGGAUGUGAAAGCCCUCGGCUUAACCGAGGAAGUGCGUUCGAAACUACUGGGCUUGAGUACCGGAGAGGGUGGCGGAAUUCCCGGUGUAGAGGUGAAAUUCGUAGAUAUCGGGAGGAACACCAGUGGCGAAGGCGGCCACCUGGACGGAUACUGACGCUGAGACGCGAAAGCGUGGGUAGCAAACA
Molecule: ribosomal RNA, 428 nt
Filed under: uncultured prokaryote
Description: bacterial SSU rRNA
Rfam family: Bacterial small subunit ribosomal RNA
Source: RNAcentral